UUUUUAAAAAAAAGUAAAAAUUUGAAGCUAAACCCAAGGAGAGUCGCUGUCACGUUCACUUUGUAUUGGAGGAGGGGGAGAGGUGGAAGAAGAAGAGGAAGGAAAGGAGAUUGGAAAAGGAUUGGGAGUGGGUCCUUCACCAGCUUUUUUUUUUUUUUUUUUUUUCUAUGUUCUUCUUUUUUGGGGGGCAUUUGACUUUUAAUGCCCCAUUGUUGCUUCUUGUUGCAGGGAUGCUGCAUUUGGAGACACCAACCUUAUAGCAUUUAAUUCAGGCUAUUUUAUGAUCUGGGUUCUUUUUCUUCUUUUUCUUAAGCCAUUUUAGUAGAUAUUUUUGCUUGAAAAGAGAGAAAAAUUGGAUUUUUAGGGGUGUUAUGCAGUAAAAGUUCAAGCUUUUUUUUUAUUUUUUCAUGUUGGUUGGGUGAAAAAUUGCAGCUUUUUGGUGUUUAGAUUUGUGGAUGAGUUGGUAAUGUUUGGAGAUUAGGGCAAAUUUGAUCAUUGUGCACCAAGCUCUGAGUGGACUACACAUUGUUGCUACUUUUGAUGUCAAUUGAUUUCUUAGCAAGAAGUUGACAAAGAUUGAAGCUUCUGCUUCUGCUUCUGAGAUCUUCAGAAGAUCUUCAGAAGAUCUUCAGAAAUUUGCUGUUUUGCUCCUUCAAGUUUGUGAAUUUGAGCUGUUGGAAGCAGGAAAAAAAUGGCAGGUUAUGGCUACACAGACCCAUCACUUCCAGAAGACUCACCCCCCUACUCUUCUUCUACUUACUUUCCACCUCCUCCACAAACUUCUUCUUCUUCUUCUUCUCCUUCACCACCUCCUCCUCAUUCCCAUCACAAUGCAAAGCACUUCUCUCCGCCGCCGCCGCCGCAGCUUGCGAAUUCCUCUUCACCUCCACCUUUAGCCUCUUCACCCCUCCCUUACAAUAGCCCUCCUCCUCCUCCCUCUUUUCCACCACCACCACCUCAAAAUUACUCACCCCCACCCCCACCUCCUCCUCCUACAUUGUCUCCUCCACCUCCCGCCCUCGCCCCUUCGGCUUCCCCGCCGCCGUCCCCCUCUUAUACUUCGGCUCCGCCUCCCUAUUCGAACGAACCGCGCAUAUAUCCGUCCCCUCCGCCGCCAUUCGCUAUACCUCCGCCGCCAAUUUCCCCGUCUCCCUCUCCUUCCGAGGCUCCCUAUUCCCCUAUUAGUCCUUCGGUGCCGCCGCCUUCGGUGCCCCCUCCUCCCAGGCAUAGUAGUCCGCCGAGGCCCGCCAAUAAACCGCAAACUCCGCAUCGCCCAAUCCCCCCAAAGUCGAUCAAUUCUAGCGCGAUUUCGACUGUAGGGAUUGGAAACAAUGAUUCGGCGAAGAACAUUGUAAUAUCUCGCGAAACCGCGGCCACCGUUGCCGUUAUAACGGGCCUCGUGAUGCUUAGUUUUAUCGGCGCAGCUGUGUGGCUCGUGAAGCAACGGCGGCGGCUGGAAGCUCCUGUUGUAUAUGCUGCAAAUUUCGUGCCUUCGCCUUCGCAAGUUUCAGGUAAUUGAUUUCCGAGACUUGUCUCAUUUUUAGAUUCUACGUCGUUAUUUGUUACCUGAUCGAUUGAUCUAUCUCAUUUUUAGAUUCUACGUCAUUAUUUGUUACCUGAUCGAUUGAUCUAUUAUGAAAUGAUCCUUGAAAAGUAUGGAGAUUCAGCGAGUUGGAUGCUUGAGGUGGGGAUUAGAUUCAUGGCCUUAUUGAAAUGAUAACAUCUUAUUCAAAAGAUUGAUCCGUCAGGAAAUGGUUUAGGAAGUAGCAAAAUCGUUGGUAUUUGACCCACUCAAGCCGAUACCGCUGCUCUCAUUUUCAUUUAGAUUAAAGAGGAGCACUUUGAAGCAUAGCUUGCAUUGACUAUUGAAGUAACUUGGAUUAUUUUGGUUUUGUUCAUCAGAUACAACAUAUCAAAGAUCGCCGUUGUAUCCUUUCAUGAAACACAGCUCGGGAAGUUACGGAUUUCCUUACUCGCCAUCAGAUGCAGGGUUAGGCCUUUCGAAGCUGUGGUUUACAUUCGAAGAGCUAUCGAUGAUCACAAACGGCUUCUCAAGGCAGAAUCUUUUGGGUGAAGGUGGAUUUGGUUCCGUGUAUAAAGGAUGCUUUCCCGAUGGCAGAGAAGUGGCCGUGAAAAAGCUAAAAGCUGAAGGUGGACACGGCGAGCGUGAAUUUAAGGCCGAAGUUGACACUAUCAGCCGGAUUCAUCAUCGGCAUCUUGUUUCGCUAUUAGGCUACUGCUCAUCAGAAAACGAAAGGAUGCUCAUCUACGAUUAUGUUCCUAAUAAUACACUUUAUUAUCAUCUUCAUGGUGAGUUAUCUAUUUUGCUGAUAAACUUUUAUUUGCUUAUGUUCAUUUUCAGAAUCUUUCAUUGUAAUUUCCAAUUUUGUUGAUAUUGCAGGAAAAGGAACACCGGUUAUGGAUUGGCCGACAAGGGUUAAGAUCGCUGCUGGUGCAGCUCGUGGAAUUGCAUACCUCCAUGAAGAUUGUAAUAUAUGUCCUCUCUUUCGCUUUAUCGGGUUAGUUGUUCAUGAAAACACGAACUUAGUUUGUGCGCCUUUUUUCGUUAUUUCUCAGGCCAUCCUCGGAUUAUUCAUAGAGAUAUAAAGUCCUCCAACAUUUUACUCGAUAAUGACUUCGAAGCUCAGGUUAUCUUUGACCUCUGAACUGUCGAUAACAACAGAUAGUCUUGUCGAUCACCUUUAUUUUUCUGAUCUUUUCACAAAGAUUAUUGUUAACUUAAUAGUUACGUGUUAGGUUUCGGAUUUUGGACUCGCAAGGUUAGCCAUGGAUCCCAACGCGCAUGUGACUACACGUGUAAUGGGAACAUUUGGGUAGGUAAAACUGCACCUUAACAUAAACUAAGCGAAACCAGCAUGUUAUCUUGUUUGCUGCUUAAGACCCACAUGAUUUCUGGGUUGCUUUUUACCUCGCGAAAACUGAUGCUUUAGUCUCUUUCCAGGUAUUUGGCUCCGGAAUAUGCAUCUUCCGGCAAGUUGACUGCUAAAUCAGAUGUUUAUUCAUUUGGGGUUGUUCUCUUAGAGCUUAUUACCGGCCGAAAGCCUGUCGAUACAUCUCAACCUUUGGGAGACGAGAGCCUCGUUGAAUGGGUGAGCCCUCAUGGCGUCGAUUCAUGUCUCAGUUUAUCUUUUUUUUGCAUUAUAAGUUUACUCAGUAGCUAAGGAAAGUUAAUGAAACAUUAUGUUGUGGCACGGCAUGGUUCAACUGCAUGUUACUUCUUUUCGUCCUAUUUAACCUUUCUAUGUUAUAUCCAUGAACAUCCAUGAAUGAUUGUUUAUACGUCGAAAGAGUAAAAGUGUUUUAUGUUUGAGGUAAAAUAAUACUUGUCAUACAUAUAUAUAUAGGUUGAAACAAUCCUAAUCCUAAUAAAAAAAAUGAUUAGAUUCGAGUUCAUACAAUCCUAAUAGGACUCGUAUUAAUCAUUAAUUUUCUCGGGUCAAUAAUUAUAAUAUACAAUAAGCCCAUUUAAAAAUGUGAGUGGGUGAGCCCUUACGAAAGCCCAAACAAAUUUAAAAAAAAAAAAAAGAAAAUUCCAGGGGAAGGUGGCGGGGCCGCGCUCUGGGGAAGAUUAAGGUUCUAGGUGGUAGGGAUGUCGCGUGGCCUUCAUUUUCACGGCCCCAUAGCUAAUCAUUUGAAACCCAACUAGUAAUUUAAGGAGGGUCUGAUCUAAUACGUACGGGCACACCCACAUCCUUAUAAAGUUACUAGGGUUGGGAAAUCCUGAUUUAAAUCAUAUAUCCAUCAAGAGCAUGGUUCAUAUUUCGGUCGGAUAAUUUUGAUAUCCCAGAAAAUAGGCCCCAUCAUAAAUUUAUAAUUCCGUUCAAAAUCUACGGAACUCUUCUCGGCGACUAUUUGGACCACGCUCCAACACAAGCACUCUACCACACAAGUACUCCUCCUAACUAAGUCUCAUCUCAGAAAAUUCGAAUUUCGAAUUUUGAAUUUGCCCAAAAUAUCAUCCAACAACACAUUUCGAAAAUUCGUCAUUCGAAUUUCGAAUUUCCCAACCAAUUUCCAAACCAGCGUCCUCAACAACCGAAUGAAAUUCGAUUUUCGAAUUUCGAAUUCAACCCAACCCAAGUUUUCCCAAAACAUCAUCCAAAACCCAUUCAAAAUUCGAUUUCAAUUUCGAAUCCUCUAACCAAUUCCCAGAAUAUCAUCCAACAACCCAUUGAAAUCGAUUUCGAAUUUCGAAUUCUCAACCAGAAUUCCUAAAAGUAUCAUCCAGUAUCAACCCAUUCAAAAUUCGAUUCGAAUUCUCGAAUUCUCAACCAUUUCCCAAACAUCAUCCAACAACCUAUCGAUUCGAUUUCGCAUAUUUGAUAUCCCAACCAAAUUCUCAAAAUAUCAUUCAACUCAACUCAUUCAAAUUCGAUUGUCGAAUUUGAUUCUCUAACCACAUCCCAAAUACUUACAACUUAUCCAACAACUCAUCAUCGUUUCGAAUUCGAAUUUGAACUCCCAACCACCCCACCUCCAUAUAUAUCCUCACAACCAUCCAACAAAUAAUUCAAAAUUCGAAUUUCGAAUUUUGAGUAUUUCUUAAUAACUCCUCCCCUGCCCAUUAUUCAUAAAGUACGGGAACCGACAAUCAAUUCAAAGGAACUUUUUUUUUGAGAGAAGAGCUACUACAUAUAUAGAUGCUAGAAUACUUCAAGUUCAAAAUAAUUCAGGAAGGAGGCAGUGAUAUUGCCGGAGCUGCCGAAAGGAGGAGACGAUUGCCGGAGCCGCGGAUAAGGAGGAGAGAUCACUCGAGCCGCGGAAAGAAGGAGAAUCGCCAAGCCGCUGAAAGAAAGAGGAGAUCGUUGAGCCGCUUCAUUCGAAUCCAUCAACAGGUAGUAAAAAAAAAAAAAGAUAAAAAAAGAAAAAAAGAAAGAAAGUAAAAAUAAUAAUAAAACAAAAAAAGAUCUCUUUUCUUCCCCCUCUUUUUUUUUUUUCUUUUGUCCGACGAUCGUAGCCACCCAUAUCAUCUAGAUGGCUUCGGUGGGAGAGUGGAGGGGAAUCUUUGAUUCCCCGUUUCUUCGGACCUCUCAAUACCCCAUUCGAAGUCGUUGAUGAUGGAAUGGAUGAUCUACAUUGCUGCGACCAUCUCCAGCAUGUUUGGUUUGAUACUUUCGAAAGACGAGGGGAGGGGAAUCUUUGAUUCCCUGUUUCUUCGGACCCUUCAAUAUUUCUUCGAUAAAUAUCGAAUCAAAUUUGCUGGCCGAACAGAUCCAUGCCACUGUUAACAACUCCGUCGACGACAUCUACAAUCGCCGUUUUGAUCUUUUCGAAAAGAAGAGGGGAGGGGAAUCUUUGAUUCCCCGUUUCUUCGGACCCUUCAAAAUAUUUUGAAAAUAUUGAAUCAAAUUUGCUGACCGAACAGAUCCACGCCACCAUCCCCAACGACAUCUACAGCAUUGCCGGUUUGAUACUUUCGAAAGAAGAGGGGAGGGGAAUCUUUGAUUCCCCGUUUCUUCGGACCCUUCAAUACUUAUUCGAAAAUGUCAAAUCAAAUCCGAUGGCCGAACAGAUCCACGCCACCGUCAUCAACUUCGUCGACGUCAUCCGCAGCAUCGUAAGAAGAGGGGAGGGGAAUCUUUGAUUCCUCGUUUCUUCGGACCCCAAAUCAAAAUUAAAACGGGGAUUUCUUCGGACCCCAAAUCAGAACCAAAUGGGGAUUUCUUCGGACCCCAAACCAAAUCAAAUUUGAAGAUCAAAUUCAAAUUCAAAUCAAACGGGGAUUUCUUCGGACCCCAAAUUCAAUUGCAAAAUCAAUAGGGGAUUUCUUCGGACCCCAAAUCAAAUUGCAAAUCAAGUCUAUACACAAGCUUAAAACUGCAAAUUAAGUUCAUAUGCGAACCUAAACUGCAAAUCAAGUUCAUAUGCGAACCCAAAUUGCAAAUUAAGUUCAUAUGCGAAUCCAAAUUGCAAAUCAAGUCCACAUACAAAGCCAAACCUAACCAAACCAAGUCCAAAUAAACAUCCAACCCAAAACCAAAAAAAACCAAACCAAACCAAGUCCACAUACAAAGCCAAACCUAACCAAACCAAGUCCAAAUAAGUAUCCAAACCAAAAUCCAAAACCCAAAUAAAACCCAAAUCAAACCAAGUCCACAUACAAAGCCGAACGGCCCAAAGCUAACCAAACCAAGUCCAAAUAAACAUCAAACCCAAAACCAAAAAAACCCAAAGCAAAUCAAGACCACAAAUAAAAGCCAAACACAUUCCCCAAAUAAAACCAAAACCCAAACUCAAAUCAAACGCAAACCCAACCCAAAUCAAACCCAAAUAAAAUCCAAACCCAAGUCCACACAUAAAACCAAAACCCAACCCAAAUCAAGUCCACAAAUAAAAUCCGAGCCCAUUCCACACAUAAAACCAAAAUCCAAACCCAAAUAAAAUCCAAACCCAAGUCCACACAUAAAACCAAAACCCAAACCCAAAUAAAAUCCAAACCCAAGUCCACACAUAAAACCAAAACCCAAACCCAAAUAAAAUCCAAACCCAUUCCACACAUAAAACCAAACCCAGUUCAUGGACCAAAUCCCAUGAGCCAAAACCAAACCUCAUGGACCAAAUCCCAUGAGCCAAAACCAAACCUCAUGGACCAAAUCCCAUGAACCAAAACCAAACCCAGUUCAUGGACCAAAUCCCAUGAACCAAAACCCAGUUCAUGGACCAAAUCCGAUGAACCAAAACCAAACCCAGUUUAUGGACCAAAUCCCAUAAACCAAAACCCAGUUCAUGGACCAAAUCCCAUGAGCCAAUACCAAGUUCAUGGACCAAAUCCCAUGACCCAAAACCAAGUUCAUGAACCAAAUCCCAUGAACCGAAACCAAGUUCAUGGACCAAAUCCCAUGAACCAACCAAACCUCAUGGANNNNNNNNNNNNNNNNNNNNNNNNNUCAUGGACCAAAUCCCAUGAGCCAAAACCAAGUUCAUGGACCAAAUCCCAUGAGCCAAAACCAAGUUCAUGGACCAAAUCUCAUGAAACCAAAACCAGACCUCGUGGACCAAAUCCCAUGAGCCAAAACCAAACCUCAUGGACCAAAUUCCAUGAGCCAAAACCAAAUCCCAUGAACCACAACCCCACAAACCAUACACCAAACCUUAUGGACCAAAUCCCAUAAACCAUACAUCCAACCUAAUACCCAAAUCUCAUAAACCAAUACCCAAAUCCCAUGAACCAAUGCCCAGAUCUCAUACCCAUAUCUCAUGAACCAAUUAGACUCUAAUACAUAGAGUUUAAUAUCGAUUAGGUCUUAACACAUAUACUCAGGACCUAAUCAACCUCAAAUCCAACUGAAUCCUAAUACAUAUACUUAGGAUUCAAUAAACCGAGAUACGAUCCAUCUCAUCCAAUCUAUAAAGGUCUCUUAAUCGAAGGUGCCCCAAUCUCAAGGGGGUAAUUAACAGUAGAUGCUUGCAUCUAUUGGAAGCCAUGGACCCGCAAAAUCUGAUACCCACAUACAUAUAAAUAUCAAUCUGAAUCAUGAAUACUACCCCACGGCCCCGAAAAAUCCAUCGACCGUGCGAGGUGCGUCAUUCGUGGUGGCAGACAAUUUACUUGUAGAGCUCUAGGAAGCAGAACUGUAGCGGCAAAUAGAGCACCUUUCAUUCAUUUACUUUUGGUGCAAUCGAAAUCUAUUAAUGCUCAGCAAGAAUUCGGUGGAAUACAAAGCUGAACAUAGGAGUGGAAAUGGUAGUGUAAUGUUGUUUUAAGCUAGAUAAAAUUGACAUAGGUACUAGUAUUAAGUACAGGUAACAAAUAAAUUUACGCUCUUGAGUAAUUCUCUUCUUUUAGAGUCAUUAAGGAUAUAGCUUUUGUCGGAUAAAGUUUAGUUAAUCCUUUUUAAGUUGAUCUAGUUAACUGGACGGUUCAAUUUCACUUGGAGGAAUUAUUGUGCAAAAGGGUCAUAAUCAAAUCAGAAAGGGUAAUAACUUUUGAUCUGCAGCUAAUUUUGGUUGUGAAUCAUGUUGGAUGGUUAUUCCGCGCAUGUUGGUUGCGUUUUCAAAACUAAUCACAACUAAAUACUCCUCUCGCAGUCUCGACCAUAUCUGAUACGAGCACUUGCAAAUCGAGAUUUCGGAGCUCUACCCGAUCCUCGACUUGAAAUGAACUUCGAUGGAAACGAGAUGUACUGCAUGAUCGAAGCAGCAGCUGCAUGCAUUCGGCAUUCAGUUGCGAUGCGACCUCGAAUGGGACAGGUAAUUCUUAAGAAAGUGUUUUGUAACUUUACUGAUAAGUUUUUAAAAAAAUCUUACUUGAUGUACUCUGAUGUCCAGGUGGUGAGAGCUCUAGAUAGUUUAACCGACUCGGAUUUAACCAACGGAGUCAAGCCGGGUCAGAGCGAAGUAUUCUUAGAACCGCAAUCGGAAGAGAUUCAAAUGUUCCGGAUGAGGGAAUUUAACAGCCCCGACUACAGCUGCGAGACGAGCCAAUCUAGCUGGGGUCGUCUGAGAGAGUUGUAAACAGAUUCCCUUCAUCCUCAAGAACUUAUGUUCAUUAUAUUUUUUUCUUGUAAUUAGUUUUCUUUUCUUUUUUUUUUUUUCUCUUUACAUCAUUGGAAUAAUUCCCAUUCUUAGUUGUACAAAUCUUUAAUUAAAUGUUUAUUCCAAAAUUUUGGAAACCUUCUUCAUAUGUCUCGAGUUUUUUGUACUUUGAAACACAUUAUUUUGGCUUGACAAUUGGUAGAUUAGAAGUUGUUUCUUGUUGCAGUUAUUAAGACUAUUCCGGGCAGUUUUUUUGUGAGUGCACUUUGCGUAUGAGUGUGGGUGUUAAGAUUAUUUCUGAACUGUUCCCAUUACUUUUGGUUUUAGAAAUUUUGAUAUUUGCUUUGAUGUAUAUCGAUUUCUUUUCUUUUCUUUUUUUGGAUUUUUCUAUAUGAUAUCCUUUAAUUACUUCAAUUAUAAGAUGGUAUCUUAUCUUUCAUAAAUCUUGUUGACAAUAGGUUCUGCAAUUUAUUCUGCAGAGCUUUUGUAAGUUUAUGCUUAAUUGAUCUGUUCUUUUUUUUUUUUUUUUUUUUUUUUUUUUUUUUUUUUUUUUUUUUUUUUUUUUGGUGGGGUUUACUGGUAGCUUCAUAAUUAAACAUGUUUGCAGGAUUUUAGCCAGCAUACUUUGGUUAUGAUUCUGACAAAAUUAUUCUGAUUGUUGAUCUUUAAUCAGUGAAAGCUCCAAAGAGGGCUUAACAGUGAGACCUGUGUAAACUGCUAAUAAACGGUUGCAUCCGGAUCUGAGAUUUUUUGAUACGCUCAAGAUUUGACCGUGAAUUAAAUAAGAGAAAAAAUUUAUGCUUGGAAUUUAGUGGGAUUCGAACACAAGAUCAAUGAGAUAUUAAAUUAUGUGAAACAAUCGUUGUUCGUCAAAAGAUGCGUAAGUUACUGGCGAACAGUAAUAUUUGAACUCGAGACUUUUUAAUGGGCUCAAGAUGUGGCCUUGAAUUAAAUUAUAUAAGGAGUUUAGUAGGAUUCGAACAUACGUCCUUCUAUUUUGAUAAGAUAUUAACUUAUAUAAAACAAUCUAUUUUGAUAAGAUAUUAACUUAUAUAAAACAAUCGCUAUUCAUAAAAUAUUUAAGUUAUUAUAGAACCAUAUUUUUAACAUACAUGCUCUCUCUCUCUCCUUUUUCUAUUUUCAAGGGAUUGGGAAUCUUAUAAUGACAAAGGGCUGUUUCCAAGUGAAAAUCAUAAAUGCAAAACGCCCACUUCGGUUGGAACUCUCAAGUUCUAUGAGAUCCAAAUAACUAAACUCAGAUAGUUACACUGGACAUCCACUUCACUAAUAAACAGAAUAUCUGAAACAAACUCUAGACUCUUUCUCUUUCGUCUCCAUUACUUGUACACCCAAAAAUAGAAUAUAAAUCUUACGCCCACAAAAUCAAAAAAUUAUACUCUUUUUUAUAAAUUUCCGUGUGCGCACACGCAACGGAUUCAAUUUUAUACUUUCAAUCCAAAAUAUUUAAAUAAAUUUAAAAAAAUAGUACUCAAAUUGUGAGAGAAAAUUACACCAUUGAUACCUAGACUAUAUAUCAAUGAAAUUUCACAGGGGUACCUAAACUUUGAUAUAUGUCGGUAUUUGGAGGCGCGAAUUUUGUCUCUUUGUUUGCUAAGCGAUGGAACAUCGGUUGCCGACUCAAACGGAAAUCGGAGUAAGCACGCUCGAAAAAUUCGGCGGCGAAACACCCCACGUUACCGAGUUUAACAAUGCGUUAUCGGAUUCGGAAAUGAGAUUCGACAACGUCACAAAAAUCCGACCGGUCGAAUCCCCCGGACGGCGGCGUCCGCAUAGAACGGCUCCUGUAUAAUGGUGAAUCACCUAGAACGAGCCAUGGGUGCGGUGGUGGUGGAUGCGAUGAGCCUUCUCCUUCUCCCUCGAAGCUUCGCCGUUUCCCCCUCCUCCUCCUCCUCCUCCUCCUCCUCCCCUUCCUCCUCGCACCUGCGAUUCCUCUCCACGAAUCGCCUCGCUCCUCAUCUUAGGGCACCAUUUCUCAGGUUCUUACGCGCGCUCUCUCUCUUUCUCCACAAAUUUGAGACAUUGAUCCGAAUUUUUGGUGAUUUAUGCUCUGUUUUGAUGUUUUUCGAUUGAUUUGGUUCCCAGGUGGAAGAUAUCUAAUGGGGGGAGAGCGAUUAGAAGCGUGGUGUGUACGAGUGCGUUGAAUUCCUCGGAGAAUUACGACGCCGAUAGCAGCAAAUCGCCCUCGCAGGUUUCUUACUGCAACCAUUGUAAUUGAUUCUAGAUUGCUUAUGGUUGUUUUAUAGUUAGAUUCCAAGGGUCGCGGUAUCUGCUUGAGCAAAUUUUAUAUGCAUGUGAAUGUUGAUUAAUUAGUUGUGCUUGUUUUUGUAUAGUGAUAAACUCGUUUUGUCGUGUUAAAGGAAGCAGCUUUUGAUAUAAAGCUUCCCAGAGGAAGUUUCAUGGUUGAGUUCACAUGCGAUUCUUGUGGUGAAAGAACUAAGCACUUGAUAAACCGAGUGGACUACGUAAAGGGAACUGUGUUUCUCCAGGUAUGCUCUGCUGCUGAGCAUCUUCAACUCGUAUAUCUAUCUAUUUGCUGGUUGAUCUAAUUUCCAGUAGCAUCCACAGUUUCUUUUGCACCUCUGUAGUUGAGAGAAAAUAAAGUAGUCUAAAUUACUUUAACAUUUAAGGUUGACCAGGGAGGUAAUAGUUAUAGAUUUAUAUUUCAACUUUGGAUUGAAAUCAUCUAAGAUGAUAUUCUCUGUCGUCGAGUCUAGUGCAUAUGCAAGCAUCUAAUUCAGUCUUUGCUGAUCAGUUUACGUUUUUGGCUUACCGUCCUCCGAUGGUGUCAUCUUCUUUUUAUUCGUAUUGGGAUUCCUUCAUUGCGAUUUGCUGCAAUAUUUGACUAAUUGGCAAUAUUUUUACGGUUAUUUCAGUAAGUCUAGGCUAUACUAGAGAUGGUUUCGGCCGAAAUCUUUUCUUUUUUUAAAGCUCACUUCUAGAGCGUGUGAAUUGACAACCUAUUUUGUUGGAUAUGAUCUAGUCUAGAGAAUCUAAAGUUACUAUAAAUUGAAAUUCGUGAGUUUUGGAUGCUAUUUACCCAUACAUCAAAUGGAGACCAAAAUGAAUGGUGUGAAUUGAAUAAGAUUCGUAAAUAUUGUAUGCGAUUCCUCAAUUGAAAAUCUGGCCAUAUUUCUCGAUUGUAAAAAGGGAAAAAAAUCCUACAUUUGCAACUUAUUUGGAUCAUAUUUUACCGUCAAACUAAUCACCAUCUCAUUGCAAUCAUUUAAAUUGUUAAUUUUAAAACUGCUCAAUGCAUAGGCAAGAAACAUCGAUAAACCAUAAAUUUUGAUUUCUAGUACAUUAAAAUACAGUAGAUCCGAUUUGAGUGUCAGAAAUUUGAGUCCAAAUCCUCUUGAGUGUAGUUUAGGCUUUCUCUAUCUAUCUUCGGUAAUUUAAAUUUGUUGUGCUGAUUUAUUUCGCUGCUGAACUAUUUCUGUGAAUGUUUGAAGCAAGCAUUUUCAUACAUAGGUUAGCCAUUUUGAGGUUACACGUAUCUGGCCUGUCUAUUGUGCUAAAAUCUCAUCUGAACAGUGUGCAGGCUGUCUUGUCUACCACAAGUUUGUCGAUAACCUUGGGCUAGUGGAUGAGUACGAUCUGCGUGAGGAACAUGAUGUGGAUGAUGUGGAUUCCGAUGGCUUAGAUUGAUUUGGCUUCGACAUGCUAUUUGUCUGUUUUAUGCACAAUAUUUUUCCUCAAGUAAAAUACAAAACUGCUUUUCUACAUGCUUUAUCGCUUACAUUGUUCAAAGGAUACAAGUUGGGAAGAUGGAAUGCAGUUUUAGAGCAUAUUAUUAGAAGGCUUUCAGUGAGCAACUCGGUUUGGAAGGGCCACAAGGGAGAACGGAAGUGAUGCUACCGACAAACAUCAAGACGGUAUAUCCUAAUGUUCUGCAAAUUUCAACUGUUUCAUUUGAAUUAUUACUCAAACAUCUGGAGAAUAUAAUUUAUUCUUCUUUUCAAAUUUGAGACCUGUGAGGUUUCAAAUCUACAUUUUUCUCUCUUUAACAACUUUGUAUUCUCAGCCGUCGGCUUUCUAAAUUUUUGACAGUAUCACUCAUCAGAUAACUUCAUCUAUAUAUUUGGUUGCUAUUUUUUAUGUAAAUACGAAUUGUGCACUGCAAAGUAGUUGAAUUGAUUUAAUAAGACUCUUCUGGCUCAUAACAUCCACAGAGUGAUUACUUUUACUGGAUUAAGAAAAGUUUAUGGUUAUGCAUAAUACCUCAAAUUUCCAAGUUGGGUUUCAAAGUUUCAAUUAAAAAUUGAACUCAGUACUCAUAUGCGCAAUGCGUAGUUAUUAGUCAAGACCGUGGAAACUAUCUAGAAGAAUCUAGAUAUCUUCAUUGUCUAGCUUUUAACUCUCCCAAUUAGGUGGAACCCAUAUAUGAUUAUCAUGGUUCUCUUUAUAGUAUUUGAAGCACUGAUUUGAGUUAUUUCCUUUGUGUUCCAGAAAAAAUUGAGUAUAUUUAAGGAGGUGUGUUGAGAGCGAAAGGAAGUCGCCAAAUAUCUCAUCUUCCAUAAAGUUCCAUACAAUUUAUUGACACUGUUAAUAGCAAGAAUUUCUCUAGUGCUUCUUAAUAUCAGUGGCUCCAACUAAAUUUUCGUCGUCAUCUCUAUCUUACUUUUUCUGCUUCUCUACCUCAUCUUACCCAUCUUCGACAUUUUGUUCCUCAACUUUAUCUUCAUUUUUACCGUUUCUCUUUGCCUUGAGGAAAUCGAGGAGCCCUUGAAGUGCAGCAUCAGUGUCAUCACUCCUCAUCAGCUCCUCCGCCACUGCCGCCGGAGCUAUCUCGACUUCCGUUAUCAACCCUUCGAUCUCUGGGAACAAUUUGUGGUCAUUAAUGGCAUGGUAGUUGGAAGCCAACACCCUGAAUGCAUCGAUGCCACAGUAGCUCAUAUGUAUGUGCAUAUCCAUUCGUCCGGGUCUCAGCAGCGCGGGGUCGAGGCGCUCUUUGUAGUUUGUAGUGAAUACGAUGAUCCGCUCCUCCCCGCUUGUCGACCACAGCCCAUCAACAAAGUUGAGCAGACCAGAGAGCGUUACCUGUUCGAAACGAACAUGGUUAGCAUUGUCUUUUUCUGGUUUGUUAGGUUAUUAUCACAACGAGAUUAGGUUCAGGUAUCAAAACUAACCUUGUCGUUGUUUGAUGUAUUCUGAUCCUCGUUCUUGCCCUUUUGUUGGAUAUUGAUCGUGCAAUCAAUGUCCUCUAUGACGAGUAUUGAUUUGUUGGACAUACCAAUCAGUAAUUGUCGCAGGUCGUUGUUGCAUCUUAUUUCUGUGAGCUCCAAGUCAUAGAUAUCGAACUUGAGAUAAUUUGCCAUUGCAGCAAUUAAGCUCGACUUCCCAGUCCCAGGUGGCCCGUAAAGCAGGUACCCUCGCUUCCAAGCCUUGCCGAUUCUCUUGUAAUAGUCCUUCCUCUUCACAAACUUUGAAAGAUCAUCCAUCACCGCCUUCUUAAGCUCUGUGUCCAUUGCAAGCGUGUCGAAUGUUGAAGGGUGGUGCAAAUCUAUGGGGUACCAUGAAUCGUCGUCAUUCAUGUAGAGCUUGAGUGCUCUGUCCUCCUGCUUAAGUUCUUUUGCCCUUGCUAAUAUAAAUGGCAAGUAGGAGUAAAGUGCCUUUUCCUUGUGCUUCUUGUGGAAGCCGAGCUCGAAUGAUCGGACUUCGAUCUGCCGGAAAUUGCCAUUGCUCGAAGUGCCGCUGGAGGUUUCCCGGCAAACCAACUGCCAUUUGAAUUCGGUACCUUCAUACACGUCGACCAUCUCCUCCCCCUCCUCCAUACUGAUUAGCAUGCUCUUUGUUUCGUUUACCCUGCUCACCCUUAGCCUUCGCAUGUUAGUGUUGAUGCGGGUUGCUAGGUACAAUUUCGCAGCCUCAUAGAUUUGAUUGUUGGCGUACCCUUCGGUCUGUUCAAUCACGAUUGUGUGCUGCGAGGACAUGCAAGAGCGCAGAUCGUGGAUGCCGGAGAAGAUGAAGUCCCGCACUUCGUGGGGAACGAGCUCAUUGACCACCCCACGUAGGAGCAUAGCAGAGGCCGCGACAGAUGCGGCUGUGGUGACGGCCUUCUUGUAUGAUUCUAUGGCCUUUUCAUAUGAAGCCAUGGAGAUCUUCAGGAGCUCGAUGAGGAGGUGAGCAGAUUUGUAAUGCUUUUUGCUCCCUUUUUAGUUUGUUUUUCGCCUCACUCUUUUUGUCCUUUCUCUCUCUUGGGAUUUGAGGAGAUGAGUGUGUGUUCUGAUCUGUAAUGAUCUUGGAUGAGAAUAAAUAAGCAGAGGUUAGAUAGUGGGGGAGGACUUUGUCGUGGAGGAGUCAACUGUCGCUUUUGAACAUGUGAUAUCUACUAUUUCCUUGCAGUCCAAGUUUCCUGAUGUCUAAGAGGCAUUGUGAAUUGUGAUCUCCAAGCUUCCAAGAUGAUGCUUUGGCUAAAUUACAGAAACCCCUUGCACGUUAGCCCAUUUACUCGUCGACACAAAAGUUUACAUCAAUUUUAGUCUUACACUUGGUUGCUGCUUUAAAUAAGUCAUAAAUUUAGGAUGAUUGCGGAAUUUGAAUACAAACCCGGAAUGCGUUGCCAUAUUUUCUUGGAUUUUCAUCUGAACAUCUAUUUGAAGUUGAAGUCCAAAUUAUCAAAAUUGGUUGGUUUCGUGGAUAAUUUUGUUCCAUUUAUAUCAUUUUGUACUAUUACAUGUUACCUUCCUAAUCCAUGAACUCAUUUUUUCUAAUAGUCUUUGCAUUUGAAUUCAACAAUCAUUUCAAUUUUUAAGUGUAGGACCAGAACUGAUGCAACAUUUUAUGCAGGGUGUGGUUGAUGAAACGCGCUUAAGUAUGAGGUCUUCUCAGUAAUUUGCCUAGAAGCUUUUUGACACUUUGUCCACGUUGAGAUUCGUCGUUGUUGAAAGCUGAGUACACGUGGAGAGAAUAGUUGUGCCCUAUUUGGGUUAUUUUUAUUAACCAGAUAGUGUACUAUUGGGAAUAUUUUAAGUGAAUUUUGCUGGGUAAUUGAACUGGCCUGUGUGGAAUAAACUUGAAUCCGCGUCACCUUUUUUUGUUUGUGUUCGAAAUGAGAUGGAAAGCAGAUUCUUUAUUGGCUCUCUCUGAUAUCAUAUUAGCUGGUGUCUUACCUCUGUUCAAUACCGGCGAAGUUGAUUGACUUGAACUGCUUUUUUUGUCGGUGAGUAACAUUUUAUUGAUGUUCAUUUACAUUUGUUGUUUGAAAUGAGAUUGGAUUUGAUUUGUUCUAGUCCCUUCUUCUUCUUCUUUAUGUCUUGCUCGCAGGAGUAUAUCACUUGUGGUUGUGCGCUUUGGCGCUGACAAAAAUGGUAAACUGCUGCUGCUGGGCUUAGCUAUCGUUGAAAGGAGGAAUUCUAUUAUAUAUCAGUUAUACUACAUCAUCUAUUAAUAAUUAAUUAUUUUUUUAAUAAUCUAAUGGAACAAGUAAAUUCAAAAAAAUAAUUUGCUUGAUUGGUAAUAUCACAUCAGUAAUAUAUAUAUAUAUAUAUAUAUAUACAGAUGAUGAUGAUGAUGUCGGCAUUGAUGGUAGUGAUGGAUGACACCGAUGAUUGAUACUGAUGUGACAAUGUCUUAAUGAUGCUAGUGAUGGUUGGCAGUGGGUUGUCAAUAAUAAAAAGCAGCAAUUCUAAAAAAAAAUUUAUUAUGUCAUAUUUAUAUCACAUUAUCAAUAACAAAUUAAUUAUAUAUUUUUUUAAAAAUAUAAUUAAAAUAAUUUUUUAUAAUUAUGAUGAAAUAAAUAAAUUUAAAAAAAUUAUUUGAUUGGCUAAGAACACUACUUCACUAAUAUAAUUGGUGAAAUUUAAAAUUUUUCGUAACUCCGGUGGUAGUACAAUCAACCCUCCGUGGCUAGUCUUCAAGUCGACCAUUUAUUACGUGCAACGAUGGAAUCUUGAAAGCAGUGAUGGAAGGAACAUCGCGUCAUUAAUAUUCUCUAUUUUUUAAGAAAAGAAAAAAAAAGAUUUUUUUUUUCUCUAAAAAAAAAAUAAAUUACAGAAAAUUUUCCUGUCAAUAUCUAAUUUUUCACUUUUCUCCCUUAUCAUUUAAAAACCCUGCAUUUUGCUUCUUGAAAAAUGAGAAAUAUUCAUAGGGGUACACCGUGACAAAAUGACCAAAAUGCCUCUCACCAUCUUCAUCUUCUCCCCCAACCUCGCUCAGCCGUCGUCCCUCCUCUUUCGUUCUUCGCUCUUCGCUCAACCGCAGCUCCGACUCCAUUUUUCUUCACACGCUCCCCCGCUCUUCUGCACUCGCGUUGUCCCUCCAUUUCGGUGACGAUAA
RNAcentral lists this long non-coding RNA (16791 nucleotides) under Ananas comosus (pineapple). RNAcentral's name for it is "long non-coding RNA (ACOM_LNC024761)". The record is from RNAcentral. Lineage: Eukaryota; Viridiplantae; Streptophyta; Magnoliopsida; Poales; Bromeliaceae.